UACGGAGGGUGCGAGCGUUGUCCGGAAUCACUGGGCGUAAAGGGCGCGUAGGCGGCCUGGCAAGUCGAUGGUGAAAGCCCGAGGCUCAACUUCGGGUCGGCCACUGAUACUGCUGGGCUUGAGUCGACUAGAGGCAGAUGGAAUUCCGGGUGUAGAGGUGAAAUUCGUAGAUAUUCGGAAGAACACCAGUGGCGAAGGCGGCUCACUGGACCGGUAUUGACGCUGAGGUGCGAAAGCGUGGGGAGCAAACAGG
RNAcentral lists this ribosomal RNA (253 nucleotides) under uncultured bacterium. RNAcentral's name for it is "partial 16S ribosomal RNA". It matches the Rfam family "Bacterial small subunit ribosomal RNA", at positions 524 to 776 of the family's 1533-position model. The record is from RNAcentral.